This 253-nucleotide ribosomal RNA is filed under the name uncultured bacterium. RNAcentral describes it as "partial 16S ribosomal RNA". It matches the Rfam family "Bacterial small subunit ribosomal RNA", at positions 524 to 776 of the family's 1533-position model. The record is from RNAcentral.
UACGGAGGGUGCAAGCGUUAUCCGGAUUCACUGGGUUUAAAGGGUGCGUAGGCGGCUAUAUAAGUCAGUGGUGAAAGCCCGCAGCUCAACUGCGGAACUGCCAUUGAAACUGCAUAGCUUGAAUCUGGUUGAAGUGGGCGGAAUACAUCAUGUAGCGGUGAAAUGCUUAGAUAUGAUGUAGAACACCGAUUGCGAAGGCAGCUCACUAAGCCAACAUUGACGCUGAGGCACGAAAGCGUGGGUAGCGAACAGG